UGGCUCUCUUCCCACUUUGAUCAGCCUGCGACAACAUCAACUCUUACACAACCAGUACAACAUCAAAAUACCACAAUAGGUAGUUGCUUUGGCCAGGAGGUGAAAGGAAAUGUAAUCUGCUUUUGCAUGCAUAAGACAUUCAGGUUGUCUUUUAAGUACAACAAUUCAAUUCUUAUCUGAUUUUUACUAAUACAAGGAACAGUCUGAAUCUUGUUUAUAAAAUCAACGAUCCAGACUAAUUAAGCUAGAUGAAAAUAUGCCCAAAGGAAAUCCUUACAAUCACUACAAACAACAAUGCUUGCAUCAAUAAAUUACAUCAAAAUAUCAAAAUUCAUUAUGCAUAGCAGGCAGGUCCACUCAUUAAGGAGAAUUGAAGAGAAGCACAAAAGAAAUCCUUAUUGCUGGCACUAGUAACACACAAGUUCCCCAUAGCUUUUCCAAUGCUCUUCCCAGAAUUCCUAUGCAAUAGAAAUCAAUCACCAAUCACCAUGCCAUAAAUCAACAGUACAAAGAUAUUAAAGAUAUAAAAAGUACAAAGGUGUCCAUAUUAGAAAUAUAUAAAACUGAUAAAAUAUUCAUAGGCAGCAGAUCUCAACGUACCGACAAAAGAUAUUAAAGAUGACAGUUUGUGACCUUUCGAGGGGGAGGCGAGGAGCACCUGCAUCAUAUAGACAAGGAAGAGGGGUCAGGUUAGGGAGGAUCUCGUGAAGCGCAUCCACUAUAGACGUCAUCAUUAUAACUGUGAGUAAAUAACACUUUAUGUUCAAUGGCUACAUCUAUUAAUGAUAGUUGUUCAAUCUAUAGACGCAUUUAACAUGUACUCCCUCGGUUCCAUAAUAUAAGAGCGUN
Molecule: long non-coding RNA, 849 nt
Filed under: Hordeum vulgare
Lineage: Eukaryota; Viridiplantae; Streptophyta; Magnoliopsida; Poales; Poaceae
Description: long non-coding RNA (HVUL_LNC015303)
Source: RNAcentral